Molecule: ribosomal RNA, 502 nt
Filed under: uncultured bacterium
Lineage: Bacteria
Description: partial 16S ribosomal RNA
Rfam family: Bacterial small subunit ribosomal RNA
Source: RNAcentral
AUUGAACGCUGGCGGCAGGCUUAACACAUGCAAGUCGAGCGGGGUGAUGGUGCUUGCACUAUCACUUAGCGGCGGACGGGUGGGUAAUGCUUAGGAAUCUGCCUAUUAGUGGGGGACAACAUCUCGAAAGGGAUGCUAAUACCGCAUACGUCCUACGGGAGAAAGCAGGGGAUCACUUGUGACCUUGCGCUAAUAGAUGAGCCUAAGUCGGAUUAGCUAGUUGGUGGGGUAAAGGCCUACCAAGGCGACGAUCCGUAGCUGGUAUGAGAGUACGACCAGCCACACUGGGACUGAGACACGGCCCAGACUCCUACGGGAGGCAGCAGUGGGGAAUUUUGGACAAUGGGGGCAACCCUGAUCCGGCCAUGCCGCGUGUGUGAAGAAGGCCUUCGGGUUGUAAAGCACUUUCGGACGGAACGAAAUCGCGCGGGUGAACAUCCCGCGUGGAUGACGGUACCGUAAGAAGAAGCACCGGCUAACUACGUGCCAGCCGCCGCCGUAA